AUAUUUUGUGUGUACGAGAGGACUGUUAUUGACGGUCCCCGCGGCUGACGUCACGCGCUAGCAACCGCUUUGGAGAUAGGAGGGGGAGGGGGAGACAGAGAGUAGAGAGACACCGGUAGCUUUAGGACGUUAAAAGCCAUAGAACCGUCGGACGGGCCGGUCGCUACAAGAAACAGAAAAUAGUAAGAGCAGCUCCCCAUUAACGGUUAGAACAAUAACGACAAGGCUGAAAGCUCCCUUUACGAGUGACCGAUCAAGUUUCAACAGUUUUAAGCUAGCCAAAUUCUAGAAGCUGCUUUGUCCAUUAUCACUUUGUUAUAAUAUAACAGGACUUGAGAGUGGUGAAAGUGAUAACUCUGGAUUUGUAAACCCUGAGAGGUUGGGACUAAGUGCAGAAAGCGGUGGUGUUCGAGCUCACCUGCCGCCAGGACUUCUUCUCCGUCACUUCCACACCCGAAGACCGGGAACACCGGGAUUUUUUGUGGAUUUUUUUUAUUUUGUUUUUUUUUUUUUGUAAAAACACAAGGCGAAUCUAUAGUAUUACACACCGAGGAGAGAGGAGGAUAAACACAAACACACACACACACAGCACGGCAGGCACAAAGAGCGGGGAGCAUCCAGAGAGGGGAAGAAGGCGGACCGCACGGAGAGAUAGAGCGCGGUGUGAGGACAACAACCCGACUGAGCAUCCCUCUUUAAUUUCUGAUCUGCUCAGGAAACACUCUGCACGGCCGUACAGUACAAACGCGGAUCCUGAACGCCGUUUAUCCACGGAAAGACUCCUCCAGCAUCAGUCGCUCCUCUCCAGGGAUAGCUGCUCCCGAUCUGUUUGCCCCUGAGCCCUGCAGUACCCAGUCGUCCUCUCCACUUUGUCCCGAUGAAGGAGGCUGAUGCCAUCAAGUUGUUUGUGGGGCAGAUUCCCCGUAAUCUGGAGGAGAAGGACCUCAAGCCUAUCUUUGAACAGUUCGGCAAGAUCUAUGAGCUAACUGUGAUUAAGGACAAAUACACUGGCAUGCACAAAGGAUGUGCGUUUCUGACGUACUGUGCGAGAGAGUCUGCGCUGAAAGCCCAGAGCGCUCUUCAUGAGCAGAAAACACUACCAGGGAUGAAUCGGCCAAUCCAGGUGAAACCAGCUGACAGCGAGGGCAGAGGCGAGGACAGGAAGUUAUUUGUGGGCAUGCUGGGAAAGCAGCAAAGCGAUGAGGACGUCAGAAGGCUGUUUGAGCCCUUUGGCAGCAUAGAUGAGUGUACUGUCUUGAGAGGGCCUGAUGGCACCAGCAAAGGGUGCGCGUUUGUGAAAUUCCAAGGACAUGCCGAAGCCCAAGCUGCCAUCAACAGCUUGCACGGGAGCCGCACAAUGCCUGGGGCGUCGUCCAGUCUGGUGGUGAAGUUUGCAGACACAGAGAAGGAGCGGGGGUUGAGGAGGAUGCAGCAGGUGGCCUCCCAACUCGGCAUCUUCAGCCCCAUGACCCUCAAUUUCCCCGCCUACAAUGCCUACACGCAGGCGGUCAAUGCACAGCUUGUCCAACAGCAGGCCCUGGUUGCCCAGUCAGCGUACUUGUCUCCUGUGGCAACAGUUGCCGCCGUACAGAUGCAGCAGAUGGCAGCACUCAAUGCCAAUGGAAUCAUUGCCACACCCAUUACACCCAUCACACCAUCCUCGGGUACAAACACCCCCCCAACUAUUGCAGCAACACCUGUGCCAGCGCUUCCUCCACCAAUAGGAGUGAAUGGUUACAGCAGCGUGCCAGCUCCCUCCAAUGGGCAACAAACAGAAACACUAUACACCAAUGGCGUUCACCCAUAUCAAGCUCAGAGUCCAGCAGCAGCCUUGGACCCACUACAGCAGGCCUACGCAGGCAUGCAGCACUACACAGCGGCGUACCCUGCUGCGUACGGAUUGGUCGGGCAGCCGUUCCCCCAGCAGCCAACACUUGUUGCCCAGCAACACCAGCAGCCCCAGCAACAGCAGCAGAGAGAAGGUCCAGAGGGGUGUAACAUCUUCAUCUACCACCUGCCUCAGGAGUUCAGUGACUCUGAGAUGCUGCAGAUGUUCCUGCCUUUUGGCAAUGUCAUCUCAGCCAAGGUGUUUGUGGACCGUGCCACCAACCAGAGCAAAUGCUUCGGAUUUGUGAGUUUUGACAACCCAGCCAGUGCUCAGGCCGCCAUCCAGGCCAUGAAUGGCUUCCAGAUUGGCAUGAAGAGACUGAAAGUGCAGCUCAAAAGGCCGAAAGAUGCCAACCGCCCAUACUAAGUGACUACUGAGAGGAUGAAGAACAAGUGAAGAGAGAUCCUUCCGUCCAAUCAUAAUUCACGAGGACCCCAUCGCUAUGGCAAUGGUUGCCUAGUGACCGAUAAAGCCCCGACCCCCCCUUCCUCUCACAUUGUUGUGACCUUUCAGAGUCCAGCCGAGGAGGAAUCCCAGGGUUCAUUGUGCUUUCAGACUGUCUGCUGCCUGUGAGCGUACGCGGACUGCAGCCACACUCACGCAAACACACAAACAUACAUCAACACCGAACCUCAUAGGGUUCGUGGCUGAUAUGUACAUAAAAUGCACAAAAACACACACACACACUUGCUGACACUUACACAAAUACACACGCGAGUCAGUAAUCUCACCCAUACGGCCGAGACCUUGGUUUGACCGUAGUCUGUGUGGAACAGGGUGUUUAGUACAGCUAAGACAACUCAGACCAAGUGAGAAGGGUGAAAUCAACCUGCUGAUAUAUCACUCCAAUAGACUUUAACUUGUCUAUACCAUGUCUAAUACAUGACAAAUAUAGAGGGACCGAUGUUUCAUAAUAAAAACCCAAGAAAAUACAAAAAAAGACGACUAAAUGAGUAGGUUAGAGAGACUUUGGAGAAGAUCCUAAUGACCUGUAAAUAGUUUAGUUUACAAAGAGCAGCAUUUAAAAAACAAGAAAAAUGCAAAAAGAAUACUACUUUAGAUAAACACUGAGCAGGACACAGCAACAUUAUUAUUAUUAUUAUUAUUAUUAUCAUUAUUAUUAUUAUUACCACUAGUAACAUCAUCAUCUUCAUGAAAGGAAAAUACAUUCCAAAUUGUAAAAUGGGAAAUCACUAACCUAUUUUAAAUUUCUACUUAGACUUUAGGUGAAACACGGGGGAGGGAGGGAUUGCACUUUUAUUCGGGAGGUUUUAAUAUUUGAGCUAUUUUUUAUUUAUUUACUAAUUUAUCAAUUAUUUUGUUUAUUGGGAGAAAAGGGGGUUUGAGUGGGUUGCAAUAUUUUGAUUUAGGAUUUUCUAGAGGAAAAAAAACAACUUUUGAGGGUCUGUCUCUCUCACUUCUUGCAAUCGAGUAAUUAUAAUGUAUGUAUUAAUUAUUACAGCAAUUAUAUUUAUUUCUAAUUUAUUGAAUCCUGUUUUUGAUCCACUCUCUUUUUAAGUUUAAAUAAAAAGUAUCAUACUAAAAUGUCUGAUGUGUAAUCCAUGUGAGUGUUUGCAUGCAUGUGGGAGGGGAAGAAAGGGAGCAGGACUGGUCCAAUGAAAAUCUGCAUUUGGAAGGUUCAGCAAGGAAGAGAGCGCACAUCCAACUUUUCACCAGGAGGGGGCAUCGCUACAGUAAUCAGAGAAGAAGGAGAGAAUUGAAAUACCAAUUAAGCUGCACAGCUUGUGAUCUCAUUUCAUUCUUUAUGGGAGCAGGCUACUUUUCUAAUAGUAGAUGCAUUUGUCUUUCUCAGGAAUAAGUAUACAAGAGUAUUAUUUCUAAUGAUUAAUUUACCAAUAGAGAAAACUAUUUAAUAAUAAUGUGAUGUGUGCAGAGCACAUUUUUAAGAAACAAUUAUUAAGCUGACUAAAUAUGAGUCCACAGGUGUGGGAUUUGUUAGACCACUGAGAGGAUACAUUAAGUAGAGGAAAUUUUGAGCAUCAGACUUUUAAUUUCCUGUGCUUGGAUUUUAACUCCUUCUAUCCUUCAGUCUAUGGUGGACAUAUCUGGAUUUAGAUGAGGGGAUAUACACACACAACACACACAGCCGUCUACAUAAUCCCUAUGCUUCUCUAAUGUUUCCCACUGAGAUCUACAGCUACAAAAGUGUUUCCCUGGCCAAAACAAGUAAAUAAUUUAAUAGGAAGGGAUCAUUCUGACAUUUAUUACAAUAUUGAUUGAGGUUAGCAGCCAAAAAAGACCUCAUCAAUUUUAUUAUACUACAUUUAUUUUUUAUGGUGCAUGAGGCCAUUCAAAGAUAAGAUGUCAAAUUGGGAAUAUUCCAGGAUGUGAUAUUUUCAUUACCGCAUGGGCUUUCUUAAUAUUUUAUGUUAUUCAAGUAUAAAAUAUUCUAUUUAUUGAAGGUCUUUUAUCAUAGAUUGUGUUUGAUUAAACUUUUAGCUGUUGCAAAAAAUAGGUAAAUACAAUACAUCUCAUGUUAUUUAACCUUAUCUUUGUGACCAAUUCAAAUACUUGUAUGAUUCAAAGUUAAGUUAGGACCAAGACAUACCCCCACCCCCCGCCCUCACUUUGUGGGCCAAAUAUAGUAUUUAAUAUAAUUAAACUCAAGCACAGCCUUAUUGAUCUGAUCUGAACUUUGGCUGCCUGGAACAAACUGUUUGACAGGCUGGCUGUGAGUCAGAUAUGAAGAUCCUUUGACCCCUCAGCUGCUUCUCUUAUAGUUCACGUGUCACUAGGAAAAUAGUUAUAUCUGUAGAAAAUAUACAAAAUAAAAUAUCCUAUUGUAAUGAUCCUGUUAUUAUUAUUAUUGUUAUUAUUAUGUAUUUAAAAAAUAUUUGAUUAAACGCCCAGUAAAAUGUAACAGAAAGGUCACGAGUGAGUGGGACAUCACCAAAAGAUUUCUACAUUAUAGUAAACAUUCAGUCAACAGCAGAUGCUACGUCCGCAAAUAACGAGGUUAAAGGUCAGCCACGGCAAAGCUUCCAGCCGAUCAGAAAAGUAUUGUAAGUUACGAAAUGUAAAAAAAAUAUAUAUAUAGCUUUUUAGAUAAAAAACCAAAAACAAAUAUCAGACACUUUGGAUUAACACGGCUGUUUCGGAUACAAAGAUUUGGGGGUAAAACUUAUUCCGAGCGGAAACAAAACGCGGAUGUGUGUGUGAGUGUGUAUGAGCCAAAUGCUCUCUCAUGUGCUUGGACGUCAUCUGCGUCCCUCCCUCUCCGUUAUUCCCUCACUCCUCCCUCUCUGUCUGCGCCUCUCAGUCCGCUCUCCUGCCGGCCCGACCCCAUCCUCUGUCCGGCCACAAAGACCCCCGUCGACUCCCAGGACACACGAGGGGGGAUUAGCUGGGACACGACGAGGGAGGGGGGGAAAAAACUACCUGAACACUGCUGGGAGAAAAGCCGCCGAUAUCGCAUUGCAGCAUCUCACACAUUCUCCCCCAUCUGUAGCUCCCCUUUCCUUCCCUUUUUUCGCACAUUGUUCCCAAUGGAAACAUGUAAAAAUCAGUAAGCUGCGCCCUUCUGAGCACAACCAGCGGGCUGGGCACACUCAACGGGACCGUUAGCUUUUUUUUUUU
Haplochromis burtoni (Burton's mouthbrooder) is the source of this 5485-nucleotide RNA transcript. It is a transcript of the gene named cugbp, Elav-like family member 3b, with no coding region annotated. The transcript is spliced from 16 exons. The record is from RefSeq and is a predicted model, not a curated record. NCBI's taxonomy places the organism in Eukaryota, Metazoa, Chordata, Actinopteri, Cichliformes, Cichlidae.